AGAAUAUUCCUGUAAGAUUGUUCUGAGUGUAUGGCUGCAAUAUGUCUUGAAAUUAAAUUGACAUAUUUCUGGUUUAGUUUGGAUUUUGCAUUUUCUUUGACUUUGCAAAAUUGCUUUCAAAAAUAUUUUUUUUCAGGUAUUUUGCACAGAGAAAAAACUAUGUGUUCUUCUAAAGGGAGAGAAUGAGUAUCUAAGAUCAUACAUCUAAGUCUCCAUGGUGUGAAAACCCCAGGCAAUCAUGAACAAAACUGCUUCAGCUCUAUGCCAGAGUCUUCCUGGGAGGAGGUGACUUGCAGAGUUGUGAGUUAGGAGUCAGUGUGAGCAGAAAUCCUCGUGCAGAUGCAGGGCGCUCACCGGAAACAAUUGAGAAUGGCAGUGGUAUCCUGCAGGAUGUGUGUGACAUGCUCAGCUGGGGCUUGAUUUACACAGGGCCACAUUAUAGAUUAUACAUUCUGACUGUAAUCCAAGAUCAGGAAGGAGACAAUGCAUUACCAUCUGAAACACAAGAAAGAUCAAAAUAAGUUUUCAAUGUGCCACCAAAACCACAGUGCUAGGUUUCUGUUGAGGCAAAUGAGUAAUACCAUUCUAGCUGUGAAGGUUGCUGUGAGUGGGUAAUAAUUCCAUUUAACUGAUGGGGCAGAUUAUGUAUUCUGCAAGAAAAUAAAUAAUCCCAGGUAAAAUCUUGCCCUAUUUCUUUAGGUCAAUAAGAGAACCCACCUACUGUACCCACUUGGCUGAAGUUGCUCUAUGCAUACUUGUCUAACUUUAGGGUUCAGGAACAGGUCUGUUCUCCAUCCUACAUCCCCAAAACAGCCUUGCUCAGGAACACAUUGCCUCCAGCCUUGGUGUGGAGCAGGAAUCUGUUCCUGCUGCUGCUCCCAGAAUGUGGGAUGACCCCCAGCUCUGCAGCUGCAGACAGAAUGUGUCAAGGCCCCUCUCAGAGUCUCUCUGCCCAUUUCUCUUUAACACAUUGUAGGCUUCAGACUUUCCUGUGUACCCAGGGAAUUUACUGAUCAAGCCAGGGCUCCCUCCUGGAGGGGGAUAUGGGUCUAUUCAGAACAGGGAUGCAAUAACCAUUCAAAUUUUGUGUGCCAACCUGUUCUCCACAGACAACACAAACUGACAGAACACAGGUAACAUAUUGUGAAUGCUGUGCCUAUUUCUUACUUUGUUUUGCCAGUGAAAAUAGAUUAAAAUUGAUAUUAAGUUUCCUUCUUGUUCCUCCAAUAAUAGAAAAUUACCAGGGAAGAGAAAAUAAGACAGAUUUUGUUCUCUAGAAAGGCCUUCAGCUAAAUGUUGUUUUUUUUCUUUUAAUACUAUGAAACAUUCUUGUCUGCCUUAAUAGAUGAGAAAAGUAACAGUAGAACUGUGAAACAAAUUAGUACAUCAGAAAUAUCAACCCUUGGACCAUAGCUAAAUCUAUAUUCAUAUUUGUAAUAGUACUGCACAUCAAUAAUAUAAAGCUGUAGCGAUUAUAUACUGUAUACAUUGAUUUGUUGAAAUGAUAGUUAUGGGUGAAGUUCUAAACAGACACUGCAACAUAUAAUAAAGGACUGACCUACUAACAGAUCUAAUAAUAAAACAGAUCUAGUAAGACAAGCUCAUACAGUAAGUAAUCCAAAACCUAAUGAUUUGUUUCAGUUUCAUGAAAAACUUUUUAUUGUUUUCUGUCUGUGUUAUUAAACAUUAAGAAUACAUUUUCCUUUAUAAAUUUUAAAUGUUUCCGGUCUGAAAUUUUUGUGCAGACAGUCAAACUAACAUUGAACAGAAGUAUACUUUUUCCAGAUGUUAUACUUACAAAAUUUUGAAAUUAAAAUCCUGCUGAUGCCUCCUAAUAUUAAUAUGCCUUUUCAUUGGGAUAGGCUCAUUACAAUCUUCUUUUGGAAGUGUCAUCUGCUUAAGUAAGAUUUGAUUUACAAAGCAAUGCUAAUAUGUUUCAUUUUAAUUAAGAUCUUCACUAUUUUCCUAAAUAGGCAUAUCUGUCCCUAGUUUUAACUUGUAAUACCCUGUUUAACAAAAGAGCAGCUUCAAUCAUACUGAGAGCACUUCUGCAAGUUUUCACAGUUGAUUGCUGGGAUGAGAGCUGUAAAAACAAGGAUCAGGUGAAGAUCCUUUCUUGGAUAUGAGCCUCUAUUUUUAUUUGUAGUUCAUAAGUCUACUUAUUAAAUAGACAAUAAUGACUAUAAUCAAAUAUAUUUAUAUUUUUGUGUGUCAUUGGAGUCAAACAGCAACCUACAUGGCUGCAGUGUGUGUGAAUGUUCCUGCAGCACAUUCAGGUUUUGGCUUUCAUUAGGCAGUAAGACAUGUUGCCUGCAAAAAUAUCACACGACUUGAAAAGGAGACUCUAAUUUCAUAUGGGAAAUUAUUUCAUCCCUCUUACAUGAGAUCAAAAUCACUAUGCCUUUAAUCAUUACUAUGGA
Poecile atricapillus (Black-capped chickadee) is the source of this 2420-nucleotide long non-coding RNA. RefSeq lists it as uncharacterized. Lineage: Eukaryota; Metazoa; Chordata; Aves; Passeriformes; Paridae. The transcript has 3 exons. The record is from RefSeq and is a predicted model, not a curated record.